RNAcentral lists this ribosomal RNA (459 nucleotides) under uncultured bacterium. RNAcentral describes it as "partial 16S ribosomal RNA". It matches the Rfam family "Bacterial small subunit ribosomal RNA", at positions 339 to 795 of the family's 1533-position model. The record is from RNAcentral.
CUACGGGUGGCUGCAGUGAGGAAUAUUGGUCAAUGGGCGCGAGCCUGAACCAGCCAUCCCGCGUGCAGGAUGACGGCCCUAUGGGUUGUAAACUGCUUUUCUAUGCCAAGAAACCCUGUUACGAGUAACAGGUUGCCGGUAGCAUAGGAAUAAGCAUCGGCUAACUCCGUGCCAGCAGCCGCGGUAAUACGGAGGAUGCAAGCGUUAUCCGGAUUCAUUGGGUUUAAAGGGUGCGCAGGUGGGCUUGUAAGUCAGUGGUGAAAUGCUGCCGCUUAACGGUAGAACUGCCAUUGAUACUGCGAGUCUUGAGUAUGGUUGAGGUAGGCGGAAUGUGUUGUGUAGCGGUGAAAUGCAUAGAUAUGACACAGAACGCCAAUUGCGAAGGCAGCUUACUAAGCCAUUACUGACGCUGAGGCACGAAAGCGUGGGGAGCGAACAGGAUUAGAUACCCGCGUAGUC